RNAcentral lists this ribosomal RNA (412 nucleotides) under uncultured bacterium. RNAcentral describes it as "bacterial SSU rRNA". It matches the Rfam family "Bacterial small subunit ribosomal RNA", at positions 9 to 414 of the family's 1533-position model. The record is from RNAcentral.
GAGUUUGAUCCUGGCUCAGGAUGAACGCUGGCGGCGUGCCUAACACAUGCAAGUCGAACGGGCUCGGAUUGAAACCUAGUGAUUUCCGAGUUAGUGGCGGACGGGUGAGUAACGCGUGGAUAACCUGCCGUAUGCAGGGGGAUAACAGUUGGAAACAGCUGCUAAUACCGCAUAAGCGCACAGUACCGCAUGGUACGGUGUGAAAAGAUUUAUCGGCAUACGAUGGAUCCGCGUCCGAUUAGCCAGUUGGCGGGGUAACGGCCCACCAAAGCGACGAUCGGUAGCCGGCCUGAGAGGGCGGACGGCCACAUUGGGACUGAGACACGGCCCAAACUCCUACGGGAGGCAGCAGUGGGGAAUAUUGCACAAUGGGGGAAACCCUGAUGCAGCGACGCCGCGUGAGUGAAGAAGU